This 2850-nucleotide ribosomal RNA is filed under the name Triticum aestivum (bread wheat). RNAcentral's name for it is "partial small subunit ribosomal RNA". Lineage: Eukaryota; Viridiplantae; Streptophyta; Magnoliopsida; Poales; Poaceae. The record is from RNAcentral.
GGGUAGAGCGUCGGAGUGCGGUGCGGCUGGAUUAUUAGCGCGUUAAGUGUUUAUAUUUAGGCCGCUGAGAAGGUCUUUGCCCUCGAUCCCAAAGCGGAGAGGUGGGCCGGGAGAGAGGGCGGAUAAGGAGGAGGCGCGUGGUCGCUGGGGAGAGGGGCGGCGGUACCCCUGCCUCGCCUUCGCGUUCCACUCGGAGAAGCUGCAACAGCUGCUCUGGAGGCAUAGGCGCUUCGAGCCGGCGCGGCCGUAGUUACCACGGCGGCGGCGGCGGCGCCGGUUAGGCAGGUAGUUGGCCACCUUGCCGGCCGGGAUGAGCCGCGCGAUGGAUCUCUAGGAGCUCUUCGCGGCGUGCGAGGGGCACACCGUCGUCUUCCUGCUCAAGGAGGCGCAGGAGGCGCUGUUGGUCUGGGAGUAGGAACAGCCUCUUUGGCCUUCACCGUUCUGGUGAGUCUAGGGGGUUAAACACGAGCUCCGACUUCCAAACUCGUUGGCAAGAUACCAACGGACGUGGGUCGGCGCAUCCCAACGACGUUACAGCCAGAGAGCCGCACAGCGCCUCCUCUACCUACAGUGUUAGCCCCUCCUUCAACCAAUGUCAUAGGCUAAGCUUCUAACGUCGUCAGUGUUUUGACAAGAGUUUAUAAACUGUCUACCAUACGAAGACUCUCUUCGUUACCGUCUGGGUGAAAAUCUCUCCAUGUUCCACUAACAAGAACUGCUCCGAGUACUCGCGUGCAACCGUUGCCUACAAGACAAACCCGAAGACUUCCUUCAAGAUUUCUUGUCCGGACUGAACUUCGAACAACAAUACUCACGAUGAGAACUCCGUCUCUUCAAAGUCCCAAUAAAGUCACCACGUGGUAACUACUUUCAAGGACCAUCUGAAGUAGGCCAACUCUAGAAGAUAUGAGUCCUUGGUCUUUCCCUGAUAGAUCUUCGACGAUAGUCCUGUCAACACGUCUAUGUAUACACACUUGGACGACCACUAUAGGAACAUAAGGAAUGACCUCUUCUCCUCUAACUCCUACGCACAGCCUUUUAUUUGUUCCUUCAAUUAUUGUACCCACUAGUCCAACCGGGUCAAUUUCAGCACGGCAACAUGAGAUGAGAGGGGGGACGUUACGUCGUCUUCUAAAAACUGGGACGAGGUGGAGGUAACUUUCUCCCUCCAGGACGACCUUCCUUUUAACAACACAGGUGUUUGUAACGACUCUGUAGGGAUUGGUAGCUACCAUAUCACAUACAAUAUCUAGGUCCCAAAAGGUUUGUCUUCCAAAUGUUAGGUUCCUAUUCCCACCUUAGGGAAAACCACAGAGGUUAAAGGUUCCGUUCACGCGUAGUCUCUCGACCAGCACGACCUUCUUGUGUCGGACCCUUCACGAAGUCCAACAUGUGUCUCUUCUCAAAAUUACCACUAAAUGUCGGAGUCUGGAUGGGUCUUUAAGAAGCCAGUUUGGACCGCUUAUGUCAAGAAUGAGACUUCUUCGAACCUUAACUACUAAACCACGUAAAACUGAAGUACCUAGGAGGACGUGGGCUUUGAGAUUACUCCCGGAACCUUCAAGACUUGAUGAACCCCCGUGAGCUGCUACUUCCGUUGAAUUGUAGAAAUCCACUUUACUACUCACUCAAGGGGAAUCUGGGUGUCUACAGUUUCUACGAACAGUAGUCAGGUUCCAUGUUGACAAGUUUACUCUAGGAGAGUUAUAGACGGUACGAUAGUCUAUCAACGACAUACAACUCAAUAAGACUGUUUCGUUUACCAUAGCAGAGCGGAGAAACGUAGACGACUGGUUGGCACCCGAAGCAGACAAUAAUGGUAUAGGAAACAGAUCAUGGGUUAACGAAAGAGGCCGGAUCCCUCCGUGUUUUCCGACGACUACUCCGCUUCCGAGCUAAACCCGUGUAGCUACCCCUAGUAGACUGUGAAAACUUGCACAUGGUACGUAUGUUCGUUUUGUUACUCCUAGGAUGUACCACAAUACUCUUAAAACAGUUACGGGCCCGCUACUUCAGACGACUAUUACAAUCUGUUGUUGAACAGGCGUAGUACUGGUCUAAGUUGGAGUUCUACACGUCAUGUCUGAAGUUGUCAGCACUCAUGAUACAGUUGUAGUCCUUUCGUUACGAAAGUCCCAUGAAAUACGUCCAACGAGUAGACCUCGCUUGACCCGUAAUGAAUUGGCAUUUCCUAUUAGUCCAACAGGUAGAAGUAGGGAGCUUAACGUACCUGGUAUUCGGCCUCACCCAGUAGAUGUUACUUAUACAAAACUGGUGGUCCUUAAAGUAGGCGUGUCAGUGGCUAUAGGCACCUCUCACCGAAUAGCUAUAUCGAGGUGUCAUGAUACUAGACUGGUUAAAGGGUAGUACGCUCCGGUUCGCACAAGAACUCUCCGAUGUGUUAUUCUCCCUCUCCCUUUCACGACGAUCAUCCUUGACUUAACUACAGUAAGAAGACCAGGGAACCUACCGUCGCGACGGUUUCCGAAACCUGUAGUGACAACCGGAGGUGGUAACAGUACUAUAGAAGGUACAGCAUCAAAAAGUCAUAACACCUGCCACUUUAGUGAUAUAUGCUGUAUACAGUUUACAGGGAGACGAUGACGUAAUGCUUAAUCUACGAACAAAAGGGAGACAAAAUCUUCCACAUCCAAUAGUAUGUAAUUAAUACACAGCCAGAGGUAUAAAAACCACAUAGUUUGCGACAACAAUGAAACAUGAAGUCGUAGGAAAACCGAUCAAAAGUGCCUUAAUGACUGUAGCGUGACACAAAUGAUUGAAGACUCUAUUGAACACAUUGAUCAGUCCUUUAAUGUGGGAGGCAGGACUUAAUAAACAGAAUCUAAACAG